RNAcentral lists this ribosomal RNA (496 nucleotides) under uncultured bacterium. RNAcentral's name for it is "partial 16S ribosomal RNA". It matches the Rfam family "Bacterial small subunit ribosomal RNA", at positions 28 to 506 of the family's 1533-position model. The record is from RNAcentral.
GAUGAACGCUGGCGGCGUGCCUAAUACAUGCAAGUCGAGCGAACAGACGAGGAGCUUGCUCCUCUGACGUUAGCGGCGGACGGGUGAGUAACACGUGGAUAACCUACCUAUAAGACUGGGAUAACUUCGGGAAACCGGAGCUAAUGCCGGAUAAUAUAUUGAACCGCAUGGUUCAAUAGUGAAAGACGGUUUUGCUGUCACUUAUAGAUGGAUCCGCGCCGCAUUAGCUAGUUGGUAAGGUAACGGCUUACCAAGGCGACGAUGCGUAGCCGACCUGAGAGGGUGAUCGGCCACACUGGAACUGAGACACGGUCCAGACUCCUACGGGAGGCAGCAGUAGGGAAUCUUCCGCAAUGGGCGAAAGCCUGACGGAGCAACGCCGCGUGAGUGAUGAAGGUCUUCGGAUCGUAAAACUCUGUUAUUAGGGAAGAACAAAUGUGUAAGUAACUAUGCACGUCUUGACGGUACCUAAUCAGAAAGCCACGGCUAACUACGU